Molecule: transfer RNA, 85 nt
Filed under: Felis catus (domestic cat)
Lineage: Eukaryota; Metazoa; Chordata; Mammalia; Carnivora; Felidae
Rfam family: tRNA
About the family: Transfer RNA (tRNA) molecules are approximately 80 nucleotides in length. Their secondary structure includes four short double-helical elements and three loops (D, anti-codon, and T loops).
Source: Rfam by way of RNAcentral
GCCUGGGUGGCUCAGUCGGUUAAGCGUCUGACUUCAGCUCAGGUCAUGAUCUUACGGUUCGUGGGUUCAAGCCCCACGUUGGGCU